Molecule: long non-coding RNA, 242 nt
Organism: Cebus imitator (Panamanian white-faced capuchin)
Lineage: Eukaryota; Metazoa; Chordata; Mammalia; Primates; Cebidae
Exons: 2
Source: RefSeq, a predicted model, not a curated record
GCCUUCUCUGUUCUUAAAGUCACCUGUGAUUCAUAAUAUUCACCUGUCACAGUUUUUACUUCAUUAAUAUCUUUCCUCUGUUCAGGCAGCAAUUCUGCAUUUCUUCGAGUGGUAAGAUGUCGAUCCUUAGCUGAAGAAUAUGGUUUGGAUACAAUUAACAAGGAUGAAAUUAUUUCUAGCAUGGACAAUCCAGAUAAUGAAAUAGUGUUGUACUUAAUGUUACGGGCUGUUGAUAGAUUUCA